RNAcentral lists this ribosomal RNA (253 nucleotides) under uncultured bacterium. RNAcentral's name for it is "partial 16S ribosomal RNA". It matches the Rfam family "Bacterial small subunit ribosomal RNA", at positions 524 to 776 of the family's 1533-position model. The record is from RNAcentral.
UACGUAGGGGGCAAGCGUUGUCCGGAAUUAUUGGGCGUAAAGAGCGUGUAGGCGGCCAGAUAAGUCCGCUGUGAAAUCUCGAGGCUCAACCUCGAGCUGUCGGUGGAGACUAUCUGGCUAGAGUCCGGAAGAGGAGAAUGGAAUUCCUGGUGUAGCGGUGAAAUGCGCAGAUAUCAGGAGGAACACCGGUGGCGAAGGCGGGUCUCUGGGCCGAUACUGACGCUGAGGAGCGAAAGCGUGGGGAGCGAACAGG